CCCUUAGAUGUUCUGGGCUGCACGCGCGCUACACUGAAGGAAUCAGCGUGCUAAAACCAUUGUCGAAAGGCAUUGGUAAACCCAUUAAAAUCCUACGUGAUUGGGAUCGGGAAUUGCAAUUAUUUCCCUUGAACGAGGAAUUCCCAGUAAGUGUGGGUCAUAAGCUCGCGUUGAUUACGUCCCUGCCCUUUGUACACACCGCCCGUCGCUGCCCGGGACUGAGCCGUUUCGAGAAAAGCGGGGACUGCUGCUGUCGGGGCUUUCGGGCCUUGGCUUCGGUGGAAACCGCUUUAAUCGCAGUGGCUUGAACCGGGCAAAAGUCGUAACA
RNAcentral lists this ribosomal RNA (328 nucleotides) under uncultured eukaryote. RNAcentral describes it as "partial 18S ribosomal RNA". It matches the Rfam family "Eukaryotic small subunit ribosomal RNA", at positions 1470 to 1796 of the family's 1831-position model. The record is from RNAcentral.